GAACGGACGAGAAGCUUGCUUCUCUGAUGUUAGCGGCGGACGGGUGAGUAACACGUGGAUAACCUACCUAUAAGACUGGGAUAACUUCGGGAAACCGGAGCUAAUACCGGAUAAUAUUUUGAACCGCAUGGUUCAAAAGUGAAAGACGGUCUUGCUGUCACUUAUAGAUGGAUCCGCGCUGCAUUAGCUAGUUGGUAAGGUAACGGCUUACCAAGGCAACGAUGCAUAGCCGACCUGAGAGGGUGAUCGGCCACACUGGAACUGAGACACGGUCCAGACUCCUACGGGAGGCAGCAGUAGGGAAUCUUCCGCAAUGGGCGAAAGCCUGACGGAGCAACGCCGCGUGAGUGAUGAAGGUCUUCGGAUCGUAAAACUCUGUUAUUAGGGAAGAACAUAUGUGUAAGUAACUGUGCACAUCUUGACGGUACCUAAUCAGAAAGCCACGGCUAACUACGUGCCUGCAGCCGCGGUAAUACGUAGGUGGCAAGCGUUAUCCGGAAUUAUUGGGCGUAAAGCGCGCGUAGGCGGUUUUUUAAGUCUGAUGUGAAAGCCCACGGCUCAACCGUGGAGGGUCAUUGGAAACUGGAAAACUUGAGUGCAGAAGAGGAAAGUGGAAUUCCAUGUGUAGCGGUGAAAUGCGCAGAGAUAUGGAGGAACACCAGUGGCGAAGGCGACUUUCUGGUCUGUAACUGACGCUGAUGUGCGAAAGCGUGGGGAUCAAACAGGAUUAGAUACCCU
This 738-nucleotide ribosomal RNA is filed under the name uncultured Staphylococcus sp. RNAcentral's name for it is "bacterial SSU rRNA". It matches the Rfam family "Bacterial small subunit ribosomal RNA", at positions 64 to 788 of the family's 1533-position model. Lineage: Bacteria; Bacillati; Bacillota; Bacilli; Caryophanales; Staphylococcaceae. The record is from RNAcentral.